This is a long non-coding RNA of Cynoglossus semilaevis (tongue sole), 313 nucleotides long. RefSeq lists it as uncharacterized. The transcript has 3 exons. The record is from RefSeq and is a predicted model, not a curated record. Lineage: Eukaryota; Metazoa; Chordata; Actinopteri; Pleuronectiformes; Cynoglossidae.
GAACCUGGAGGAGAAUGCGAAAUGGUAUGACUCUGGCGUUUGAGUCCAGCACGGUGUCCAGAGCUCCAACAAGGAGACCUGCGGGCACAGGAGGCGUCCAAAACUUUAGAGAACACGGUCGGGUAAAGAGACUCAACAGAGGAAACUCACAAACACACUGGGAGCCAAACAAACGCCGUCCUAAAAGACGAGAAGGAGGAGGAGGAGGAGGAUCUUCUUGCUGCACUUCCCAGGAUUCAGUUCUGCUGGAGGAAAACAGCGCUGACCUUGGGUUGAGUUCACUUUCGACUUCCACUACACAUAAAGUUAAAGA